RNAcentral lists this transfer RNA (72 nucleotides) under Clytia hemisphaerica. Its description in RNAcentral is "tRNA-His for anticodon GUG". It matches the Rfam family "tRNA". Rfam says of the family: Transfer RNA (tRNA) molecules are approximately 80 nucleotides in length. Their secondary structure includes four short double-helical elements and three loops (D, anti-codon, and T loops). The record is from Rfam by way of RNAcentral. Lineage: Eukaryota; Metazoa; Cnidaria; Hydrozoa; Leptothecata; Clytiidae.
GCCGUGAUCGUAUAGUGGUUAGUACAUUGGUUUGUGGCACCAAUAACCCAGGUUCGAAUCCUGGUCACGGCA